Pimephales promelas (fathead minnow) is the source of this 1915-nucleotide long non-coding RNA. RefSeq lists it as uncharacterized. The record is from RefSeq and is a predicted model, not a curated record. Lineage: Eukaryota; Metazoa; Chordata; Actinopteri; Cypriniformes; Leuciscidae.
CUUUUAGAUUGUUGCUAUGCAGUUACUAGGGUGUUGUUGUAGUUUUUGGAAUGUUGCUAUGCAGUUGCUAUGGUGUUCGGAAUACGUUUUAGAAUGUUUCUAUGCAGUUGCUAGGGUGCUCUGAGCACCUUUUAGAAUGUUGCUAUGCGGUUACUAGGGUGUUGUUGUAGUUUUUGGAAUGUUGCUAUGCAGUUGCCAUGGUGUUCGGAAUACUUUUUUGAAUGUUACUAUGCAGUUGCUUUGGUGUUCUGAAUAUGUUUUAGAAUGUUUCUAUGCAGUUGCUAGGGUGAACACCUUUUAGAAUGUUGCUAUGCUAUUACUAGGGUGUUGUUGUGGUUUUUGGAAUGUUGCUAUGCAGUUGCCAUGGUGUUCGGAAUACUUUUUUGAAUGUUGCUAUGCAGUUGCUUUGGUGUUCUGAAUAUGUUUUAGAAUAUUUCUAUGCUGUUGCUAGGGUGCUCUGAACACCUUUUAGAAUGUUGCUAUGCAGUUACUAGGGUGUUGAAAUGUUGCUAUGCAGUUGCUAGGGUGUUCAGAAUACUUUUUAGAAUGUUUCUAUGCUGUUGCUAUGGUGUUCUGAAAGGGUUUUAAUGAUGUUGCCAUGCAGUUGCUUGGUUGUUCUGAGUGAUUUUAACAUAUUGGUUUGAGGUUGCUAGGCUGUGCUUGAGUGGUUUACAGCACAUUGCUAUGCAAUUCCUAAGGUGUUCAAAAUAGUUUUAGGAUGUUGCUAUGGGGUUGUUAGGGUGUUCUAAGUGGUUUAGUACAAGUUUCUGUGCAGUUGGUAGGAUGUUCAGAGUGAUUUUUAACAUGUUGCUAUGUAGUUGCGAUGGAAUUCUGAGACAUUUAGUGCGUUGCUAUGAAGUUGCUAGGAUGUUCUGAAUAGUUUUAACAUGUUGCUACUGUAUGUGCUUCCAUUCUUUUUACACUGUUGCUAUGUUGUUACUAGGUUUUUCUGAGUGGUUUACUAUUAGUUGCUAGGGUGUCAAAAACUACUACAAUUCGAUUGAUCUGUCACAUAGCAUCUAUAUAGGAGUUUCCAUAUGGCAGGUCUUGUGGUCUUCAACCGUUCUCAGUCUGCAACAUCGACAGCUACUUUUUGAAAACAUUUGUGCCACUCAGAAACAAUUAUAGGUCAUAAAUGCAUCAGUGAGAAGGAGCUGUAGGGAUGAAAGCAGAAAGCCUCUUAUUUUAGUUUCACAGCAAUGUCAGAGGCCUUUUUUAAUGCGCUCAUGCGCUCAGAGACUGACCAGAUUUCAUGACGUGGCCUCCUUAAGAUGUUUGAUAUUGUUUUGUUCCCUCCGCCACCGUGUAGUCAGUGUGUUUGCGGUCCAGACCAGAGCUGUGCGCUUUAUAAUUGGUUUAACUUGAACAAGACCAGCUGUGCAAUAAAGCAGCAAAGCCGUGUGAAGAAACCGUUCGUAAAUCCUUCGGGGUCACAAUCCAGCGCAUGGAGAAAAAGAUUUGACAUCUGUGCUGAUUAUGAACUGUCCCCCAAUCAGCAUGCAGUAUGUGCUACUAUCCUCCAGUCAACAAGCAGAACCCCUCACUCCCUUCCAAUCAGCAUGCAGCAUGUUCUCCUGUCCUCCAAUCAGCAUGCACACCCUGUUUAUUGCAUUUGCAGAAGUUUUCUCAGGCAGCAACUGGGUUGAUUUUAUCCUUGAGUAUCUCAUGAGCAAGUUUAAUCAUGAAGCAACUGAAUAACGAUAAACACAUGCUUAAUUUCUUGUUUGGCAGACUCUUGUUCUAAAGGGAAGAAUCAUAGUUAUGUUGCCCAGAGCCAAAUGUCACAAUGAAAUUAUAUGCAAAUCACAAUAAUAGGCCAGUUAUCAAAUAUGUUGUAUCUGAUUUAUGGAGACGUUCUUUCCCCACACAAACAUAAAACAACAUGUUUCUCUUAAUUAAAUGAAGUACUAGACAA